GUGUUUGCUUUGGCAGCACAUAUAAUAGAAUUGGAAUGAUACAGAGAAGAAUUAGUAUGGUUUCUGAACAAGGAUGACAUGCAAAUUCCUGAAGCAUUUCAUCUUUUU
Molecule: small nuclear RNA, 108 nt
Organism: Callithrix jacchus (white-tufted-ear marmoset)
Lineage: Eukaryota; Metazoa; Chordata; Mammalia; Primates; Cebidae
Source: Ensembl